RNAcentral lists this non-coding RNA (174 nucleotides) under Synergistaceae bacterium. Its description in RNAcentral is "6S RNA". It matches the Rfam family "6S / SsrS RNA". Rfam says of the family: E. coli 6S RNA was the first non coding RNA to be sequenced, but its function was unknown until recently. It consists of 184 nucleotides that fold into an extended hairpin structure with a large single-stranded internal bulge. The record is from RNAcentral. Lineage: Bacteria; Thermotogati; Synergistota; Synergistia; Synergistales; Synergistaceae.
AAAUUCCUGCGGUGUGCGUGAAACGGAUAAUGUCUUGAGCCAACGUUCUAACCCCGCGGGGGAUUGCUCCGGACCGGCAGAAGCGGCGUAUGCUGCGCAAGCUAAGGAUCGGGAAUCCCCCACUCCUUAGUGGAGCGGGUCAAGACGCCCCGUUCACGGCAUCGCGGGACUUAU